GCGUGCAUUUAUCAGACCAAAAACCGCCCGCGUCUUCGGGCGCGUUCGCCUUGGUGACUCUGGAUAACUUUGCGGAUCGCACGGUCUAGCACCGGCGACGGAUCAUUCAAGUGUCUGCCCUAUCAACUUUCGUCGGUACGGUAUUUGCCUACCGAGGUUCUUACGGGUGACGGGGAAUCAGGGUUCGAUUCCGGAGAGGGAGCCUGAGAAACGGCUACCACAUCCAAGGAAGGCAGCAGGCGCGCAAAUUACCCAUUCCCGACGCGGGGAGGUAGUGACGAAAAAUAACAAUGCAGGACUCGUUCGAGGCCCUGUAAUUGGAAUGAGUACACUUUAAAAGCUUUAACGAGUAUCCAUUGGAGGGCAAGUCUGGUGCCAGCAGCCGCGGUAAUUCCAGCUCCAAAAGUAUAUAUUUAAGUUGUUGCGGUUAAAAAGCUCGUAGUUGGAUUUUGGGCGCAGGCGGCCGGUCCGUCGCAAGGCGUGUACUGGACGUCCUGGCCUUCCCUCCGGUUCUCCGCCGGUGCUCUUGACUGAUUCACAACGGCGGCCGGAACGUUUACUUUGAAAAAAUUAGAGUGUUCAAAGCAGGCUCUCGAGCCUGGAUAAUGGUGCAUGGAAUAAUGGAAUAGGACCUCGGUUCUAUUUUGUUGGUUUUCGGAGCGCGAGGUAAUGAUUAAGAGGGACAGACGGGGGCAUUCGUACUGUGCCGUUAGAGGUGAAAUUCUUGGAUCGGCGCAAGACGAACGACUGCGAAAGCAUUUGCCAAGAAUGUUUUCUUUAAUCAAGAGCGAAAGUCAGAGGUUCGAAGACGAUCAGAUACCGUCCUAGUUCUGACUAUAAACGAUGCCAACUAGCGAUCGGGGGGCGUUACAUUGACGACCCCUCCGGCAGCUUACGGGAAACCAAAGUCUUUGGGUUCCGGGGGAAGUAUGGUUGCAAAGCUGAAACUUAAAGGAAUUGACGGAAGGGCACCACCAGGAGUGGAGCCUGCGGCUUAAUUUGACUCAACACGGGAAAUCUCACCCGGCCCGGACACAGUGAGGAUUGACAGAUUGAGAGCUCUUUCUUGAUUCUGUGGGUGGUGGUGCAUGGCCGUUCUUAGUUGGUGGAGCGAUUUGUCUGGUUAAUUCCGAUAACGAACGAGACUCUGGCUUGCUAAAUAGUUACGCGACCAUCCCGGUCGGCGUUUAACUUCUUAGAGGGACAAGUG
This is a non-coding RNA of Ciona savignyi (Pacific transparent sea squirt), 1210 nucleotides long. Lineage: Eukaryota; Metazoa; Chordata; Ascidiacea; Phlebobranchia; Cionidae. The record is from Rfam.